CUGGCGGCGUGCUUAACACAUGCAAGUCGAACGAAGCGCCUCGCCCGAUGAUACGGAGUGCUUGCACAAAGUUGAAUCAAUUGAGGUGACUGAGUGGCGGACGGGUGAGUAACGCGUGGGUAACCUACCCUAUACAGGGGGAUAACAGUUGGAAACGACUGCUAAUACCGCAUAAGCGCACGGUAUUGCAUGAUAUAGUGUGAAAAGAUUUAUCGGUAUAGGAUGGACCCGCGUCUGAUUAGCUAGUUGGUGAGGUAACGGCUCACCAAGGCGACGAUCAGUAGCCGACCUGAGAGGGUGACCGGCCACAUUGGGACUGAGACACGGCCCAAACUCCUACGGGAGGCAGCAGUGGGGAAUAUUGCACAAUGGGCGAAAGCCUGAUGCAGCGACGCCGCGUGAACGAAGAAGUAUUUCGGUAUGUAAAGUUCUAUCAGCAGGGAAGAAUAAUGACGGUACCUGACUAAGAAGCUCCGGCUAAAUACGUGCC
RNAcentral lists this ribosomal RNA (490 nucleotides) under uncultured organism. RNAcentral's name for it is "SSU rRNA". It matches the Rfam family "Bacterial small subunit ribosomal RNA", at positions 36 to 509 of the family's 1533-position model. The record is from RNAcentral.